AUUGAACGCUGGCGGCAGGCCUAACACAUGCAAGUCGAGCGGAUGAAGGGAGCUUGCUCCUGGAUUCAGCGGCGGACGGGUGAGUAAUGCCUAGGAAUCUGCCUGGUAGUGGGGGAUAACGUCCGGAAACGGGCGCUAAUACCGCAUACGUCCUGAGGGAGAAAGUGGGGGAUCUUCGGACCUCACGCUAUCAGAUGAGCCUAGGUCGGAUUAGCUAGUUGGUGGGGUAAAGGCCUACCAAGGCGACGAUCCGUAACUGGUCUGAGAGGAUGAUCAGCGACACUGGAACUGAGACACGGUCCAGACUCCUACGGGAGACAGCAGUGGGGAAUAUUGGACAAAGGGCGAAAGCCUGAUCCAGCCAUGCCGCGUGUGUGAAGAAGGUCUUCGGAUUGUAAAGCACUUUAAGUUGGGAGGAAGGGCAGUAAGUUAAUACCUUGCUGUUUUGACGUUACCAACAGAAUAAGCACCGGCUAACUUCGUG
This 484-nucleotide ribosomal RNA is filed under the name uncultured bacterium. RNAcentral's name for it is "partial 16S ribosomal RNA". It matches the Rfam family "Bacterial small subunit ribosomal RNA", at positions 30 to 507 of the family's 1533-position model. The record is from RNAcentral.